Tupaia belangeri chinensis (Chinese tree shrew) is the source of this 1277-nucleotide long non-coding RNA. RefSeq lists it as uncharacterized. The record is from RefSeq and is a predicted model, not a curated record. The transcript is spliced from 2 exons. Lineage: Eukaryota; Metazoa; Chordata; Mammalia; Scandentia; Tupaiidae.
CUACAGACUGCACCUUUGGCUGCAGUAGCCAGCAGCAGCCUGGUACAUCUGAAGGCAUCUAGUGAGCAAGGGGGCACAAUGCCACCUCGGACUCCCAUCGAGAUCCCCCAACCCAGGAUAUACCCAGACCUCUAUGCAGGUAGAAAGUUCCUGCAUGUUUUUUUCCUUUGCUGUUCCGUAUUCUUUUUAAAAUUUCUAUCCCUUCCUCUCUCCAGUGACUGCACCUAUGGCUGCAGUGGCCAGGAGCAGCCUGGUACAUCUUUAGGCACCUAGUGAGCAAGUGGGCAUACUGCUUCCACUAAUUCUCAUCCAGACCCCCCAGUCCAAGAUCCACCCAGAUGCCUAAGCAGGUAUAAAUUCCUCCAUUUUUUUUCACUUCUUUACUGUCCCCCAUUCUUUUGUAAAUUCUUUCCUCUCCCUCUCUACUCAGAGUGUGCCUUUUCCUGCAGCAGCCUGGUACAUCUGAAGGGAAUUGGUGAGCAAAGGGGCACACUGCAUGCACUUAUUCCCAAUGAGAUCCCUCAGGUCAGGAUCCACCCAGACCCCUAGGCAGGUAGAAAGUUCCUCCAUUUUUUUUUUCUCUUCUUGACUGUCUGUCAUUCUUUUGUAAAUUCCUUCCUCUCUGUCUCUCCACAGACUGCACUUUUGUCUGCAGUAGCCUGAUACAUCUGAAGGCACCUAGUGAGCAAAGGGGGACAUAACCCCCACUGAGAACCAUCCACACUCCCCAGUGCAGGAUCCACCCAGACACCUAGGAGGGUAGAAAGUUCCUCUAUUUUUUUCUCUUCUUUACUGUCCCCAUUCUUUAGUAAAUCCCAUCCACUGUGUCUCUCCACAGACUGUCUCUUUGGCUACAGCAUCCUGGUACAACUGAAGGCAACUGGCUAGGAAGAGAGCACACCGCCCCCACUGAUCUCGAUCCAGACCCCCCAGUCCAGGUUCCCUCCAGACCCCACAGUAGACUGCACCUUUGGCUACAGUAGCCAGCUGCAUCCUAGUACAUCAUUAGGCAGCUGGCGAGCAAGAGGGCACACUGCUGCCACAGAUUCCCAUACAGACCCCCCAGUCCAGGAUCCACCUGACCCCUAAGCAGGUAGAAAGUUCCUACAUUUUUCUUUCUCUUCUUUACUGUCCCCCAUUCUUUUGUAAAUUCCUUCCUCUCAGUCUGUACACAGACUGCUUCUUUGGCUACAGCAGCCUGGUACAUCUGAAGACACCUGGCAAGCAAGGGAACACACUCCCUGCACUCAUUCCCAUCCAGACCACUCAGUCAGAGA